This is a long non-coding RNA of Neopsephotus bourkii (Bourke's parrot), 2948 nucleotides long. RefSeq lists it as uncharacterized. The transcript has 3 exons. NCBI's taxonomy places the organism in Eukaryota, Metazoa, Chordata, Aves, Psittaciformes, Psittacidae. The record is from RefSeq and is a predicted model, not a curated record.
UUUAUUUUGACUGAGUUUCGGCAGCUUUGCUGGGGCUUAGCUUUGCCAAAAUCUUUAACUUACAUCCAUCAUACUCAAUCAAGCCACCUGCUGUUGGAAAUAUCUAUGAUGUUUUUCUUUUUUGCCUCCAAAAUUUUUUCAGAUGUAUUUUCAAUAUGCGCCUGGUUUUACUGACAAACAAGUAUUUAUGUCUGUAUUUUCUAGGAUAAACUUCUGUUAGGAAGUGCCAAGCACAAAAAUAAACUAUUAUAGAAGAGUAUUGCAGUUGUUAUGUUUAAAGUCUUCUAGGAAGAUUUGAUUAUAUUUUGUCUAAGUUGUCUUUUCCUGUAGACUUGGAUUUUAUGCAAUCUGAUAGUUACUCAUUUGAAAUUACACUUCUUGUGUAGUGUGUACAUUUUUAGGCUGUAAUACUCACAAGGGUUCACUAUUUAAACAACAUUGCCAAGACACACCAAAAAAGUACUUAGCUCUUAAUUCCUGUCAUUUUGUCUGUCAUGGAGUUUUGGCCCCAACACAAGCCACUAACUCAAGGCAGCUCCACCACAACACUGGAAUUAAGUGUUUAAAAGAAAAGCCAUUCUUGGAUGCAAUGACUGUAAUUUAAGUUCUCAAUAGAAAUCCUACAGUUUACUGUGGUCAGUGACCCCCCAGAUGAUGAAGAGGAUCUUGAAUGUGAAGAUAUUGGUUUUGCUUAUGUCAGUUUGAGAAAGAUAUUCCAGGAGCAAAGAGAUAUCAUUGAGCAAGAUAUUGAUGUUUUCAAUUCAAAAGAUGAUAGUGCAGUAAUUGGGAAGCUCAAAGUAACAGUGGAAGCCCUCCAUGUGCUGCGUUCAGUCUAUGAGGAAUGCGAAGAAGACUGGGAGGCAUGAAAGGGAAGUUUGCCUACAGAAGCUGCUUCUCCCAGUGUAAAUACAUGCUUGAUAGUGCUUCAAAGAUGAGAUCUUUGUAAUUCUUACAGUAUAUUUAAUGUAUAAUUUAUAUGAAAAGGACGCUUGAUUUGUAGUUGUAAAGUUUUGUAUACUUUUCAGUCUGUUUGUUUUUAUAUUUUCCCCCUAAGGCUAAGAAUCUCUCCACAAUGGACAACGUCUUGUAAAUAAUUAAUACCUACAUGAUUGAAUGUUGUGCUUUAUUUGCAUUUUCAUGAUUUUUUCAUACAUAAAACAGUAAUAAAAAUGCAAGUAAAAUUUUUAAUUUUUAAUAAAAAAACCAUAAGCCUUAGAAAACUGAUUAAAAAUACUUUUAUGUUAUCCCUAAUCACCCCACUAAAUGGAAUGCCUGUGAUUAGCCUCAUUAAGAAUUUUAUACUAUGAAGAUUUUAUUAAAAGCAAUAUAUGAAAAUUACUUGGAUUAAUGUGUUAAUCUGCCUCUUUAAAAUGCUAAUAUCCAUUUUAUGCACAUUAAAUCUCAGUAUGUGUUUUCUUUGAUGCAUGCAGUUCCUAUCAAUUAAAUAUAAAAAAUGAGGCUAGUUGCAGGACUUAUUAAAUUACUGCAACCUUUUUUUAAAUAACUUUUACCCUUCUACUAACAUUAUAAUCAGCUGUUUAUGAUUAUCCUGAUUUGAAGUAGGGGGAGGGCAGGCACAUUAAUUUUUUUUGUACAGUCAAAGAUUUACUUUCAGCCAACAUCUGUCAAAGUGCAAAAAGAAGCCAUACAGCAGCAAAUUUUGCUUCACCUGGUUUGAGCUUUGGGGACAGGCAGUUGUAUUUUUGUUUGUUUUUUGUCACUUUCAGAACUUACAUCAAACAUAUAUAAUGAAUUGUUAGACCAGUGUCUAGCUUGGAAAGUUAAUUUUCCAGCUUUUAACCAAUCUCAGUGAAGGAUUUAAUUGAUAUUUUUAAUGGAGCUGUGAAUCAAUGCUCCAAAAGGAUUGUCUCUUGAGAACGAGGAUAUACGUUUCAUUUUUUAAUUUACUUUUUUAUUUGUAAUUUUCUUCAAAAGAUUUUAUAGGCUGUGGAUUUCUACUGUUUGCAAACAGGCUAUGUUUCUUCAUAAGCAUAUAUAAAGUAUUCAGACAGAUAAGUAAUUUAUUAAAAUCUACCUAAUUUGCCGUGAUAUAUUAAAUCUCUGCUUCAGUGAUCACAGACCAUUUCAUUUAGAGAAUUAGGCAUUCCCUCUUUGUGUGAUUAAAGCUCUGGAAAAUGAGUUCUUUGCUCCUAUUUGUGAACAUUCAAAGCCUGCUAAUGGCAAGAAGAUGGAAUAGAUUAUGAGACAAUUCAUUACAGUUCAACAGAAAAAAAAAACAGCUAUAAUGCAGAAAUGCAAGUAUGAAUAUCUGCAUAUAGUUUGAACCAUCUGUGCUCUAAUGGCUUCAGUAAUGGCUCUUCGUCUUCAGUGGGCUUUGAAAUGACAUCCAUACAAUAUUAAUUUGUUGAUGUACAUUAUGAGGCCAAUGGAAUGAAUAUAUUCUGGCCACGGAAAUCUGUAAAUUCCAGGAUGAUUCAAUGGUUGACUCCAUUUUAGGACCCACCAUCUUCAGUAGUACUUCUCAACCAGCCUUUGCCAGUCCUCACAGCAUUUCAUUCCUCUGGAACUUUUAGGAGACCACAGACAGCUGCAUUCCUAAACCCCUCCAUUCUUCAGUUAAUGGCCAUAUGUUUGUUGUCAUUUGGGCUGGCGCUUAGUUCAUCAUUUUGGCCACUAUUUCUAGCUUUUUUUGGCUCUGUGCAUCUAUAUUGUCAGUAAGACUGUUAUUAUACAUUACAAUAAUUUGAAACAGCUAGAUUCAACACUGAGAUUAACUGAGUGGCUUUUUAGAAAUUUAGUUGCGGUAUUCUGCCAGGAGGUUCUUAUUAUUCUUCUAAUACUUUGCAAACCAAACUAAAUAUCCUGCGCAUAAACAAAGAAGCAAAUUGUAUUGAGUUUUCGUAUGUGACUGUUUACUGACUUGCAGGAGAACUAUGUAACUGGGGCUUGUUUUCUUCUGAAAUAAACCAUGUGGUAAAAUUAGAAAA